GGGCUGCAUUGGCAGUACAUAUUCUAAAAUUGGAAUGAUAUGGAGAAGAUUAGCAUGGCCCCUGUGCAAGGAUGACAUGCACAUUUGUGAAGCAUUCCAUAUUUAA
RNAcentral lists this small nuclear RNA (106 nucleotides) under Tupaia belangeri chinensis (Chinese tree shrew). Lineage: Eukaryota; Metazoa; Chordata; Mammalia; Scandentia; Tupaiidae. The record is from RNAcentral.